This 462-nucleotide unclassified non-coding RNA is filed under the name Athalia rosae (coleseed sawfly). RNAcentral's name for it is "misc RNA ENSAEAG00005011364.1". Lineage: Eukaryota; Metazoa; Arthropoda; Insecta; Hymenoptera; Athaliidae. The record is from RNAcentral.
CUGUGGUUGAUGGUGGGUGUUUGGGAUGUGGGCGAUAUGGGGGUUUUCCAGGACUUUCAGGAUCUACAGGAUCUACAGGCUCUUCAGGGCAUUCAGGAUUCACAGGAUCCACAGGAUGUAAAGGCUCUUCAGGGCCCUCAGGGUUCGCAGGACCUGUGGUAGAUGGUGGGUGUUUGGGAUUUGGGCGAUAUGGGGGUUUUCCAGGUCCCACAGGAUCUACAGGAUCUACAGGAUCUACAGGCUCUUCAGGGCAUUCAGGAUUCACAGGAUCCACAGGAUAUAGAGGCUCUUCAGAGUCCUCAGGAUUCGCAGGACCUGUGGUAGAUGGUGGGUGUUUGGGAUGUGGGUGAUACGGGGGUUUCCCAGGACUUUCAGGAUCUACAGGAUCUACAGGCUCUUCAGGACCCCCAGGAUUCGCAGGACCUGUGGUAGACGGUGGGCGUUUUGGAUGAUGGGAAUAUC